CAGAGGCGGUGCGGUCAUCUGGGAUGGAGUAGCCGUGGGCAGGGGAGCGGAGGGUCCCCGCGCAGGCGUUUGAGAGCCUCCACGAGAGCUUGGGACGUUCUUGCGCCACAGAAAGCAGACCUGUGGGCUGGUCAGGCUGUCGAUGGGCUGCUGGGUGACUCGCUGAAUCACCUGAUUUCAGGAGCAGAGGGACAACUUGGCCCGGAAGAGCGACAGAGGAGGCGAGCUGUGCGCCGUAAGCAGGUGCGAAGCGAAGAGGAAAGCGGGCUGUCGGCAGCUCAGCUCCUCGGGCCAGGCGGCAGCUGAGCGUCUCGGCGGUCCGCGGCGUGGCAGUCAAAAGCAAGGGCGGCCGGGUGGGCGAGCGGCCCAGGUAAGGGAGGGCGAGCUGGGACCGUCUGCGGGCAGGCUGUGUUUUCGGGCGGCGUCCGAGCGCGUGCCUCUGGUUUUGCGGGUGCCGCAGACGGGCCGGCAGGGGCGAAGCCGCACGCCGGCCGGCAGCCGAGAAGGUGAGGCGGCGGUGGGCGUUGAGGAGCCCGGUAUUGCCCGGUCUCUCGCUUCAUCUUUUCCUUCUCGCUUUGCAGGCGCUUUGUGGGCCCUCUGGACCGGGAGGAGCAUUUGCGGCGUCACCAGCGCUGAGGGUUUGUGACCGCGCCAGCGGCAGGACACGCCGACCGGACCGCCCUGGAGCUCAGCAGGAGGCGCUGAAGAGGAACCCGGCGACGCGGGAAGACGGCCGUUGGCGCACGUGGCGUUUUCCUCUGCCGAAGAUGGGUUCGGUCCCUCGGCCCUCUGAAAGCUAAGUGGAGGCGCGAGGGCUGGGAAGGGGCCGGGAAUGGCAGGGCCGGGGGGUUUAGCUCUGCUAAGGGCAAGGGCCGUCCAGGAACCGCGCCCUUGGCGCGGGUCAAGGGCCCGGGGACCUUUACCGUGCGAUGCCAGCGUGUGCCGGGCAGGGCAGCUCCAGCCUGCGUCUGCGUUGUGGUGUAGUUCGGGAAGCCUGCCUUGCGCCCGUCACCCGAUCCUGGGGUCUCGUUGCGUUCGAGGGGCACGGAAGGCCUCUCGGGUGCCACCCCGGGAUCUGGAACGCCGGUGCCGAUUGGACGCCGGUUUUCUGGUGUCGGCAGCCGAAAGCGUGGCGGGUUCUUGCCUUUCGGCCGCUUCUGGUCAGGGGUGUUUGCGGCGUUGUCCUGGGCUGUGCCGGCAGCCGUGCUCUCUACCCAUCCAGUCUAAGGGACUGGCACUUC
Molecule: long non-coding RNA, 1241 nt
Organism: Columba livia (rock pigeon)
Lineage: Eukaryota; Metazoa; Chordata; Aves; Columbiformes; Columbidae
Exons: 5
Source: RefSeq, a predicted model, not a curated record